Pelobates cultripes (western spadefoot toad) is the source of this 284-nucleotide non-coding RNA. The record is from the annotation of a GenBank genome assembly. NCBI's taxonomy places the organism in Eukaryota, Metazoa, Chordata, Amphibia, Anura, Pelobatidae.
CAAAUGACUGCUGCGAACGACCUAACGAGCGCAAACCGGCUACCCCCCCAUACCUAGCUAACCCCUAUUCACCAAAUAAGUGGAACAUAUCACACAAAGGUUUACCAGGAUCACUCAACAAGCUGUACAAUAUGUUAGCCGCACGACGGAUCCGGGUUAAAGUUAUUAGUUCAAAAUCUUAUGAUAUGUACAACUGAUUAAACCUACUGCGGCAUGUGCCAACAACCCGCAUUCAACAACUGUUUUCAAUAACUGUUUAUGAUAUAUGCAAAAUGUAGCUGCAG